CCUGGUUUCUGUGUUAGGCUCCUGGAAUUCUGCAUUUGCUUCAUCUGGAGUACAACAAAAAUAUUUUGAUUAAUUUUAGAGGCAAAGCUCCUUGGAAUAAAAUUUGCUUUAAUAAUGGAAGUGCAUUAAAAAUUUAUAUGAGAAGCGGGGAUUUAUGUCUCCCUGGGAGCUGAGAUUUAAAUACAAUCUUACCUGAAACAGACAUUCAAGAUGUAAUAAACACCAGAUUCUCCCUGGACAUUUCAGCCCUGUGAGGUCUGCAUUCCCAUGCUGUUUAAAAGCCUUUCUGGGAGAAGCUGGCUUCCCCCUCGCAGCUUUUCUCUGGUCUCUAGCACAACUAAACACACUCCCUCUUGGUGAAGUGAAAGCCUCUUACCUCUCCUGUUCCCAUAUUUCUGACCACCUCUCCUGCUGACCUCUCUCACAGUGUGGGCCAAACCCAAAGCUGUGCUGGUGCUGAAACUCCAGCAGCACUGCCUGGGAUGGAGUGAUGCCCUCCCAGACUCUCCUGAGCAUCUGCACAGCCCGGAGGAACCUCUGCUAUUUUGCUUUCCAAGCCAUUGGGUAACCAGGUUGGUUACCCAAUCUGGACCAGAGCUGCUGCUCCCCAAGCCAGGUUUUUGGGGGUCAGAGUGGAGUAAUUGCAUCUGAAAUUUGAGAGCACAGGACGUGGAGUAAGGAGCGUGGUACUCUGCUCUGAACAGCCUCUCUGGCAACUCGUUUGAGGUACAGGGCAAAAAAGAUAACAAACCACCACCACAAAAAAAAAAAACAAACAAAACAAACCCUCAAACCAAACCCAGCAAACAACCCCCAAAAAAAACAGCACAGGGAAAUGGUUUGAAUAUUUGCCCAGAGAUGAAUUUGGGUUUUGCCAUGGUAGCGAUGAUUUGCAUGGGAGGAGAAAAUUUAAGAUUGUUAAGAUUGGU
This 929-nucleotide long non-coding RNA is filed under the name Ficedula albicollis (Collared flycatcher). RNAcentral describes it as "lncRNA (ENSFALG00000025804.1)". The record is from RNAcentral. Lineage: Eukaryota; Metazoa; Chordata; Aves; Passeriformes; Muscicapidae.